AUACGGAGGGUGCAAGCGUUAAUCGGAAUUACUGGGCGUAAAGCGCGCGUAGGCGGUUCGUUAAGUCAAAUGUGAAAGCCCCGGGCUCAACCUGGGAAUUGCAUUCGAAACUGAUGAGCUAGAGUAUGGUAGAGGCAAGUGGAAUUUCAGGUGUAGCGGUGAAAUGCGUAGAUAUCUGAAGGAACAUCAGUGGCGAAGGCGACUUGCUGGACUAAUACUGACGCUGAGGUGCGAAAGCGUGGGGAGCAAACAGGAUUAGAAACCCCUGUAGUCC
RNAcentral lists this ribosomal RNA (274 nucleotides) under uncultured bacterium. Its description in RNAcentral is "partial 16S ribosomal RNA". It matches the Rfam family "Bacterial small subunit ribosomal RNA", at positions 523 to 796 of the family's 1533-position model. The record is from RNAcentral.